This 508-nucleotide ribosomal RNA is filed under the name uncultured bacterium. Its description in RNAcentral is "bacterial SSU rRNA". It matches the Rfam family "Bacterial small subunit ribosomal RNA", at positions 355 to 874 of the family's 1533-position model. The record is from RNAcentral.
UGGGGAAUCUUGGACAAUGGGGGCAACCCUGAUCCAGCCAUGCCGCGUGAGUGAUGAAGGCCUUAGGGUCGUAAAGCUCUUUCGCCUGUGAAGAUAAUGACGGUAGCAGGUAAAGAAACCCCGGCUAACUCCGUGCCAGCAGCCGCGGUAAUACGGAGGGGGUUAGCGUUGUUCGGAAUUACUGGGCGUAAAGCGCACGUAGGCGGACCAGAAAGUUGGGGGUGAAAUCCCGGGGGCUCAACCCCGGAACUGCCUCCAAAACUAUUGGUCUAGAGUUCGAGAGAGGUGAGUGGAAUUCCAAGUGUAGAGGUGAAAUUCGUAGAUAUUUGGAGGAACACCAGUGGCGAAAGGCGGCUCACUGGCUCGAUACUGACGCUGAGGUGCGAAAAGUGUGGGGAGCAAAACAGGAUUAGAUACCCCUGGUAGUCCACACCGUAAAACGAUGAAUGCCAGUCGUCGGGGUAGCAUGCUAUUCGGUGACACACCUAACGGAUUAAGCAUUCCGCCU